Molecule: ribosomal RNA, 497 nt
Filed under: uncultured bacterium
Lineage: Bacteria
Description: partial 16S ribosomal RNA
Rfam family: Bacterial small subunit ribosomal RNA
Source: RNAcentral
GAUGAACGCUGGCGGCGUGCCUAAUACAUGCAAGUCGAGCGAACAGACGAGGAGCUUGCUCCUCUGACGUUAGCGGCGGACGGGUGAGUAACACGUGGAUAACCUACCUAUAAGACUGGGAUAACUUCGGGAAACCGGAGCUAAUACCGGAUAAUAUAUUGAACCGCAUGGUUCAAUAGUGAAAGACGGUUUUGCUGUCACUUACAGAUGGAUCCGCGCCGCAUUAGCUAGUUGGUAAGGUAACGGCUUACCAAGGCAACGAUGCGUAGCCGACCUGAGAGGGUGAUCGGCCACACUGGAACUGAGACACGGUCCAGACUCCUACGGGAGGCAGCAGUAGGGAAUCUUCCGCAAUGGGCGAAGGCCUGACGGAGCAACGCCGCGUGAGUGAUGAAGGUCUUCGGAUCGUAAAACUCUGUUAUUAGGGAAGAACAAAUGUGUAAGUAACUAUGCACGUCUUGACGGUACCUAAUCAGAAAGCCACGGCUAACUACGUG